This 253-nucleotide ribosomal RNA is filed under the name uncultured bacterium. RNAcentral describes it as "partial 16S ribosomal RNA". It matches the Rfam family "Bacterial small subunit ribosomal RNA", at positions 524 to 776 of the family's 1533-position model. The record is from RNAcentral.
UACGAAGGGGGCUAGCGUUGUUCGGAUUUACUGGGCGUAAAGCGCGUGUAGGCGGGCCGUUAAGUUGGGGGUGAAAUCCCGGAGCUCAACUCCGGAACUGCCUCCAAAACUGGCGGCCUGGAGCAGAGGAGAGGCGAGUGGAAUUCCGAGUGUAGAGGUGAAAUUCGUAGAUAUUCGGAGGAACACCAGUGGCGAAGGCGACUCGCGGGACUCUUGCUGACGCUGAGACGCGAAAGCGUGGGGAGCAAACAGG